GCGGGACACGUGGUAUCCUGUCUGAAUAUGGGGGGACCAUCCUCCAAGGCUAAAUACUCCUGACUGACCGAUAGUGAACCAGUACCGUGAGGGAAAGGCGAAAAGAACCCCGGCGAGGGGAGUGAAAAAGAACCUGAAACCGUGUACGUACAAGCAGUGGGAGCCUCUUAAUGGGGUGACUGCGUACCUUUUGUAUAAUGGGUCAGCGACUUAUAUUCUGUAGCAAGGUUAACCGAAUAGGGGAGCCGAAGGGAAACCGAGUCUUAACUGGGCGUUAAGUUGCAGGGUAUAGACCCGAAACCCGGUGAUCUAGCCAUGGGCAGGUUGAAGGUUGGGUAACACUAACUGGAGGACCGAACCGACUAAUGUUGAAAAAUUAGCGGAUGACUUGUGGCUGGGGGUGAAAGGCCAAUCAAACCGGGAGAUAGCUGGUUCUCCCCGAAAGCUAUUUAGGUAGCGCCUCGUGAAUUCAUCUCCGGGGGUAGAGCACUGUUUCGGCAAGGGGGUCAUCCCGACUUACCAACCCGAUGCAAACUGCGAAUACCGGAGAAUGUUAUCACGGGAGACACACGGCGGGUGCUAACGUCCGUCGUGAAGAGGGAAACAACCCAGACCGCCAGCUAAGGUCCCAAAGUCAUGGUUAAGUGGGAAACGAUGUGGGAAGGCCCAGACAGCCAGGAUGUUGGCUUAGAAGCAGCCAUCAUUUAAAGAAAGCGUAAUAGCUCACUGGUCGAGUCGGCCUGCGCGGAAGAUGUAACGGGGCUAAACCAUGCACCGAAGCUGCGGCAGCGACACUAUGUGUUGUUGGGUAGGGGAGCGUUCUGUAAGCCUGUGAAGGUGUGCUGUGAGGCAUGCUGGAGGUAUCAGAAGUGCGAAUGCUGACAUAAGUAACGAUAAAGCGGGUGAAAAGCCCGCUCGCCGGAAGACCAAGGGUUCCUGUCCAACGUUAAUCGGGGCAGGGUGAGUCGACUCCUAAGGCGAGGCCGAAAGGCGUAGUCGAUGGGAAACAGGUUAAUAUUCCUGUACUUGGUGUUACUGCGAAGGGGGGACGGAGAAGGCUAUGUUGGCCGGGCGACGGUUGUCCCGGUUUAAGCGUGUAGGCUGGUUUUCCAGGCAAAUCCGGAAAACCAAGGCUGAGGCGUGAUGACGAGGCACUACGGUGCUGAAGUGACAAAUGCCCUGCUUCCAGGAAAAGCCUCUAAGCAUCAGGUAACAUCAAAUCGUACCCCAAACCGACACAGGUGGUCAGGUAGAGAAUACCAAGGCGCUUGAGAGAACUCGGGUGAAGGAACUAGGCAAAAUGGUGCCGUAACUUCGGGAGAAGGCACGCUGAUAUGUAGGUGAAGCGACUUGCUCGUGGAGCUGAAAUCAGUCGAAGAUACCAGCUGGCUGCAACUGUUUAUUAAAAACACAGCACUGUGCAAACACGAAAGUGGACGUAUACGGUGUGACGCCUGCCCGGUGCCGGAAGGUUAAUUGAUGGGGUUAGCGGUAACGCGAAGCUCUUGAUCGAAGCCCCGGUAAACGGCGGCCGUAACUAUAACGGUCCUAAGGUAGCGAAAUUCCUUGUCGGGUAAGUUCCGACCUGCACGAAUGGCGUAAUGAUGGCCAGGCUGUCUCCACCCGAGACUCAGUGAAAUUGAACUCGCUGUGAAGAUGCAGUGUACCCGCGGCAAGACGGAAAGACCCCGUGAACCUUUACUAUAGCUUGACACUGAACAUUGAGCCUUGAUGUGUAGGAUAGGUGGGAGGCUUUGAAGUGUGGACGCCAGUCUGCAUGGAGCCGACCUUGAAAUACCACCCUU
RNAcentral lists this ribosomal RNA (1805 nucleotides) under Escherichia coli. RNAcentral describes it as "partial 23S ribosomal RNA". It matches the Rfam family "Bacterial large subunit ribosomal RNA", at positions 417 to 2207 of the family's 2925-position model. Lineage: Bacteria; Pseudomonadati; Pseudomonadota; Gammaproteobacteria; Enterobacterales; Enterobacteriaceae. The record is from RNAcentral.